RNAcentral lists this ribosomal RNA (397 nucleotides) under uncultured bacterium. RNAcentral describes it as "bacterial SSU rRNA". It matches the Rfam family "Bacterial small subunit ribosomal RNA", at positions 29 to 412 of the family's 1533-position model. The record is from RNAcentral.
AAUCAACGCUGGCGGCGUGCCUAACACAUGCAAGUCGAACGCGAAAGUGGAGCAAUCCAUGAGUAGAGUGGCAAACGGGUGAGUAACGCGUGGGUGACCUGCCUUCGAGUGGGGGAUAACGCUCCGAAAGGGACGCUAAUACCGCAUCACAUCCUGCCCUUUAAGAGGUGGAGAUCCAAGCCUGGGACCGCAAGGCCAGGCGCUCGACGAGGGGCCCGCGCUGAUUAGCUAGUUGGUGGGGUAAUGGCUCACCAAGGCAACGAUCAGUAUCCGGCCUGAGAGGGCGGACGGACGCACUGGGACUGAGACACGGCCCCAGACUCCUACGGGAGGCAGCAGUGGGGAAUUGUUCGCAAUGGGCGCAAGCCUGACGACGCAACGCCGCGUGGAGGAUGAA